This 66-nucleotide microRNA precursor is filed under the name Panagrellus redivivus. RNAcentral describes it as "microRNA prd-mir-7928 precursor". The record is from miRBase by way of RNAcentral. Lineage: Eukaryota; Metazoa; Nematoda; Chromadorea; Rhabditida; Panagrolaimidae.
UUUACGGCUUCAAUUCAUUGUUGUCGUAUUUAGUCACUUUAAAACAAUGAAUUGGAGCCGUAAGUU